This 288-nucleotide long non-coding RNA is filed under the name Olea europaea (common olive). RNAcentral describes it as "long non-coding RNA (OEUR_LNC009090)". Lineage: Eukaryota; Viridiplantae; Streptophyta; Magnoliopsida; Lamiales; Oleaceae. The record is from RNAcentral.
UAAUACAAAUAGAAUGAAUACGUCACCCUACCCCUCCCUUGUACAAAAACCAGGUUCUUGCACACGAACGGGUUCGUACCGCUUCUCACCCCUGCGCGCGCUCUCUCUCUCUCCCCCCGUUCUAGCCAACAACUGCAAAACCACCUCUCAUUUUCCUAACCAACAACUGGAAGAAGUAAUACGCACGCGCACGAAGAACUCGAAGUUAUCUAUUUCUCUCUACGUGUUCAUUUUGUUCAAAUGAUUUCUUAAUGAAAGAUAUACAUAUGGUGAACAGCGUGAGAGNNN